UCUGCGCUCAGCCCAAACGAGGCGUUGCCGUCAGUUUCUGAAUCUCUCAAGUCUGAACACUAGGAUUCGCCUGUACCUUUGACGGCAGCCCGACGAAGGAGAGGCCGGGCGCGUAUUUCGGAGGGAAGACGUGCUUGUACAGAGGGCUGACGUAGUUGUCGUCCUCGUCGACGGUGAGUUCCUCCAGGUGGUCCAGGAACGGGAAAUGGUAGCGGUAGCCUGUGCAGUAGAGGAUGAUGUCGGCUGCCAUCGUUGUGCCUUCACCGAACCGCACUUGGCCGUCAUCUUGGAUGCAAUUCACCUGCUUGGAAGUUGAGACACUGCGUUAUUGGCUUCAGACUUGAAAGGGCAGAGGAGAAAAAAGUUCAGAGUUGUGAAUUACGGCACCUCUGUGUGCAUCCAAACAUUUCGGUAGAUAUCGAUCUUCCCCAGCCUGUGCUCGUCAUGCCUCGAUGCGAUGUGCACUUCCUUUGCCACAUGCGAGAUCUCCCUAGCAAUGUCCACUCCGCUGGCGCCUAAUCCUACAACAACAACGACCUGCAGAGUGAUUGGAACCAAUUUGUUCGGAACCAGAUUUUUGUGUGUGGAAAAUUGUUGCUGUUAAGUAAAGUACCUCAUCUCGAAAUGGCUCUGGGAUGCGGUAUCUGUGGCUGUGCAUCUGCUUCCCUUGCCAAUUUUCAAUUCCUGCAUCGCGAAAUUGAAAUUAAGGAUGAUCUUGUCUGUCUGACAAAAAACUGAUAAUUUCUAAUUUCGUUUCCCUGGUCUGAGUUGAGAAGAUCUGGAAGGAAGGGAGGGGGGAAGAAACAGGGCAAUCGCGCCUCUCACCAGGGAGCUUGGGCACAAGGGGCACGGAGCAGUGCCCAGUGCACACGACGACGGCGUCGAACACCUCCACGGCCACCUCGCCUUUUUCCAAGUCGCGCCACGCCACGCUCCACCUCUUUUCCUCUUCCACUUCUUCUUCCCCGCCGCCGACGGGCGCCACGCGCAGCACCUCGGCGCGGAGCCUAACGCGCGACGCGACGCCGGAUUCAUCGGCGAAGGCGCGCAGGAAGGCGAGCACCUCCCGGUGGCCCGGGAACACGCGCGGGUCGCCGGCGAAGACCCCGUCCGCGAGGUCGUGGCCGGAGAAGCCCAUGAGCUCGCGCGGCAGGUUGGUGCGCAGCGACGCGUACAUGCUGCUGCUGCGCGCUCUGGCCGGCGGUUCGUCGUCGUAGGCCCAGGUGCCGCCCAGGCGGGCCGAGCGCUCGAAGACCGCGACGGCGUGGCCCUCGAGGAGCAGCUCGCGCCCGGCCACCAGCCCCGCCGCGCCCGCGCCCACCACGGCCACCGCCCGCGCGCGCCGCUGCAGCAUCGCGGCGCCUGAAUCGGCCGGUCUGUACGAUCGGUUUCGGUGGGUUCGUGGAGGGGUAGGUGCGGAGGAUGGCGUUCACAACAAAAUUUGAUCGAAUCAGUCACUCCUAGUACGUACCACUCUCCAUGGUUCCAAUGCUGGCCGUGCAUGUACGAUCUUGAUCCAAGGAUAAAAAAUCUCGUGCAUUGAAGCCAACAAAAAGCUCCGACAGAUGCAUUUAUGUCAUUGUCAUAAAGAAAAAAAAAGAUCUGCUGAAUUCAAUUCGAGGACGAUCUCUUGCAUCCGGAUGAGCCAUAAAUAUGUGCAACCAUACAAUCCGCCUAAGCAUCAAAUAUGUUUCGUCUUUGCCCAAGAAAUAGUCUAAAUGAGUUUUUUCUUUUCUUUCUUAGACGUGUAUGAUUGAGUUGGGUCCGGGCAAUCAAGUGGAAGGGCACGUUUAGAAACGGGAGGCAGCAAGAAAGUAUUGGGCACCAUCAUCGAGUCUUCUAGCUCAUGUAACUACGAAUCCUGAGAAGGGAGAAAUAGCUGCCGUGCGCAUGAUAGAAUUAGGCAGCGGCGGCCCAAAUACCUCCUCCUUACUAAUUGGCCACCUAUCUCCCGUGGGCUUGUCCAUGUCCAUUGUCGUGCCGCAUGGGCUUGUCCAUCCGUGGGCUUGUCCAUCCGUGGGCUUGUCCUGCCUUCCAGGGAGCUUCAGCUGUUGUUUUCGAAGGGCUCACAGAUGCAGCACUUCUUGAGGCUUUGGAGUGUAGCAAAGCAUUAUCACUUGCAGCUGAUCUGAACCUUCAAUUCAUUGCUGUUGCUUCGGACUGUUUGGGAGUAGUAAAUGAUUUGAAGAACCAGAAUUUUAAGAGCUCCUUUGGUGUCAUCUUGCGAGAAGUAGAAGAGAAGAGAAAGCUAGUACAGGAGGCCAUCUUCGGCCAUGAACGGAGGGAAAGCAAUAACGAGGCUGAUAUACUUGCUAAAUCAGCCACCUAUUUAGAUUUGGGUAGACAUGUGUGGUUGUUUGAUCCACCGGAUCAUGCAUUUUCCCCCAGAUUUUUGAAUGAAUAAAGUCCCCCGUUCCUCUAAAAAAAAAGGUUGUGGGAUGGUGUCCAAUUUUGUUGUCCUUUUAUUUUCGACUGUGAUGUCGUCUCUUUUUUUAAUUUUAUUCAGUGUUUUUGUUGCGCAAAGAGGUGGUUAGAUGAAGACGUACUCUUUGGUGCUAAUGUUUGUAGUUACCUUAAAGGAUUAGCAGUGUUUUGGUGUUUUGCAAGGUUGACUUCAUUUGAAGCACAGUGUAUUUUUCAACGGAAUUGCUAAGGCUAAGUCGCCUGAGAACAUGAAUUUCUCAGUCGAUACACCAUUUGUCGAUCCUUGAGUGUUUGUGCAACCGCGUGAGGGACCCAAGCGUACGGGCCAUGCAGUGGGUUGCCUGGAAGCUUUUUUCAGUUUUUUUUUCUCUUGAAAUUCCUAUGCUUGUUUCUCCCUUUUGUGUUUGGACUUUUCGGUUGUUUAUCUAUUGUGUCUAUUUGGAUCUAGACAUUUUUAUUUGCCCUAAAAAUUUACAGGCUGCAUGCUCAUCUUUUUCUUAUUUGUGCUAAAAAAGAUACGGGCUGCAUUUUUAUUUGCACAUAAAAAAGUUACGGGCUGCAUGUUCAACUUUUAGAAAUAACAAUUUCUCAGUCGAUGCUCUCAACCGUCGGUAUGUGUGCUAAAUUUGUUCAGCUUGGUUAACAGGAGUCGUGGGUGGUUUUGUGUCCUUUUUUGUAACGUGCAGCCGCCUAAGCAUGCCUCAAGGAUUAUUUGUGCUAUGACCCAUCAAUAUAUAUGUGUGUGUUUUUCAUGGGCUAUUUUGGUUGUAUCCUAGUGAACUGGGCUUGGUUUGUUUUGUGUGCUGAACGAAGCCAUUAAGUGAAAUCGUACAACCACGGACAUUUAUAUCUCAAAUUUUGAAGUUUUUUUCCAGCUUUGCUAUACCUCAGCUCAACUGAUUUCUGCGAACCGUCAAUUUUUGGACAUUGGGAUUUUUGCCUUUUUGUCGAUCUGCUUGUGCAUGUGUUGCGUUGCUGUGCGAGAAUGGGCCGGCAAUCGGUUUUGUUUAAUUUUAUUGCAUUGCGUCGCUACGAGAAAAUGGGCUGGCGAUCGGUUUUUUGACAACAAAAUACCUCUUUAUUAUUUGGAAAUAAGGGUUACAUCCUAAACGAGGAGAGGUACAAUGCAAAGGGGAGGAGAAUCAAACCAGGAAUUGGGCUGGCGAUCGGUUUUGUUUAAUUUUAUUCGAUUACAACUGUACUAAUAUUUUGCAUGCGGGUAGCCCAUAUCGUUUUUCUGUUCCAGCGAAUCAGCGACCGAUCCGUCUUCUUUGUUCCAAAGAAUCCUCCUGUUCUGUUUUGAUGUGUAAUCUGGGCUGGCUGUAGAAGUAGAAGGCCGUGGUGUUGAUGCUGGCCUGAGUGCUUUUUUUUUUGCCAACAUCUUGCUUUGUGUUAUGAGCUAAUUUUUAUUUAUAUUUUGGGCUUUCUUACUUGCUCAGCUAUGGCUCAGCUAGUCCUUUACCUUUUUUUGUCGAGGCAGACUAAGUGACAUGAACAUUUUUAAUAAAGUGAAUUACACUUGUUUUUCUUCCAGAAAUAUUUGCACAGUAAAAAUUUAAAAUUUAGGCAGCAACAUCCGUUUGUUUUUUAUUAUAUAUUUGUGUAGAAAUUUGGAUUUUGAAACGUACAAUUGGAUAUCGCACCUUCGGACGGCUAAAACUACACGUGAAAUUUUGUGUGCAAAUUUAGAUAAAUUGCACUUGUUUUUUUGUGUACAAAUUUGGAUUUUAAAAUGUACAGUUGGAUAUUGCACGUCCAGACGGCUAAAAUUGCACGUGAAAUUUUGUGUAAAAUUUGGUUUUUGAAAUGUACAAUUGGAUAUUGCAUGUGAAAUUUUGUGUGCAAUUUUAGAUUUUGAAAUGUGCACUUAGAUAUAUAUUGCACCUUCGGGCGUCUAAAUUUGCACAUGUUUAUUUGUGUACAAAUUUGGAUUUUUAAAUGUACAAUUGGAUAUUGCAACUUCGGUUCAGUAAAAUUGCACGUGAAAUUUUGGGUGCAAAUUUUGGUUUUGAAAUGUACAAUUGGAUAUUGCACCUUCGGACGGCUAAAAUUGCACGUGAAAUUUUGGGUGCGAAUUUGGAUUUUGAAAUAUAUAAUUGGAUAUUGCACCUUCGGACGGCUAAAAUUGCACGUGAAAUUUUAGGUGCGAAUUUGGAUUUUGAAAUAUAUAAUUGGAUAUUGCACCUUCGGACGGCUAAAAUUGCACGUGAAAUUUUGUGUGCAAAUUUAGAUUUUAAAAUGUGCAAUUAGAUAUUGCACCUUCGGACGUCUAAAAUUGCACAUAUUUUUUUGUACAAAUUUGGAUUUUUAAAUCUAUAAUUGGAUAUUGCAACUUCGAACGGCUAAAACUACACAUGUUUUUCAUGUGAAAAUUUAGAUUUUGAAAUGUGCAUUUCGAUAUUCGGGCGGCUAAAGCAAACUUUUCUUUAUUGUUUUUCUAUCUCUGCGUUUUUGGGCGAUGUUGCCAAUUUAGAUCGGGGGGAAGGAGAGCAUGCCCCAUGAUUUUUUUCUCUGCACUGCUUUUUUUUUAGGGAAUUCUCUGCACUGCUUUUUUGGUUUUGCUUGGCGAGAAGGUUAGGGUUCCCAGAUGUUUUAGAUCACGCACAGAAAGGGGCUGCUGGGACGUUGGGUUUGUGUCCAGUGGACAAGUGUUUUAGAUCGGCAUCGAGUGGGGCUGCUGCAUUUUUUGGGCCUUUCUAUGGCAGGCCAGCAGGGAAAGCCCAAUACAAAUAGGGCAGAAAAAACACAAAAAGGCCGACGAGGGGUUGAAAACAAACACAUAUACGGGCCGAUCUGGUCUCAGUCAAUCGGUAGGAGCAAGAAGAUCGACAACCAGGAUGGUCGACUGAGACACAAGAAGUCUCAGUCGACUGUGCCGUAGGCAAACCCAUUUUCAAUGACAAUUCUUUUGUGUUUGUAGAAUUAGGUCUGUCAUAAAUCCUUGUAUAACUCUUCUUUUUGGCAUUGUCUCAAGUGACAGGGAAAGGGACGCCGUGGUCUCUUUUGAUAUGAUUACCAAAACAUUGUUGAGUUCUCUCCUCGACCUUACAAUCAUCUUUGAGAUUGUGUUUUGCUCAUUCGACGCCUUCUCGACGGUACGGUCAUUAUUUUGGACGACACGCAUGAUCGGUCGACUUAGAAUUUGUGUUUCUUAGUCGACUGAGCCCUAGUCGGACCCUUAUGUUAUCCAACUGUGUGAAAAUUACGUGUAUAAAAGAGGUGCAUUUUCUUAUUGAUCAUCUAUCUUGGCAUCUUGCUUGAUUUUACCAAUCAGUAAACACGUCUGGAAAAUUUCAUUUUUGUCUCCAUGCAGCCUAUCUGUGUGUUUAUGAGCUUUGAAGUUCUUCAUGGUCCAACUGGCCUGCAAUAUGCAUGGGCCAUACGAAGUCGUGAUGGCUCUGAACAGAUUCACCAAUAGCAACAAUACGUUGACGGGUCGUCGUCAGCCCAGGUACGUGGCCAGGUGCGGCCACGCGGGCGAGCGCUCCAAGACCAAGAUGGUGCUGCCCUUGCAGAGCGCGCCGCUCGCGCACGGCCUCCAGAGUUCGGCCCCUCAGCGCCCUAGCCCACCAUGGCCACCGCCCGCCCGCAGGCGCAGCAUCCCGCUCUGCCCGGCUUCCGGUGUGUACGAUCGAUCUCGUCUCGGUGGAAUCGUGGAAGAGUAGGUCCGUAUGUGAGGAUGGUAUUCACAACAGAAUUUGAUCGAAGCAGUCGCUCCAAGAACUACAUACUCCAUGAUCCCAGUGAUGGCCGUGCAUGUUGCAUGUACGAUCCCGAUCCAAGGACAAGAAAUCCCAGUGAUGGCCAUGCAUGGCCGUGCAUGUUGCAUGUGGUGGUACUGAUCUGCUGAAUUCAAUUCGAGGAAGAUCGCUUGCACCUUGAGGAGGCAUAUAUAGUGCAUCCCUACAGUUUGUUGCAGACAUCAAAUAUGUUUCAUCUUUGCCUAAGAAAUAUAGUCUAGCUGAGUUGGGUCGGGAAAAUUGUAUAUGGGGAUGUUAGAGUGUGCGUGUAGAGACGGGAGGCACCAGGAAAGUAUUAAGCACCAGCGGUGACAAUCCGAUCUCGGUGUACCACUUACCACUCACACAGAUGCUACAGCGGUCCUACUUAGGCUAAUCGAACGAUCCGUGCCCUAUGAAUCAGAUCAUCACAACUAUCAGUUAAGGAACGGCCACGGUCGAAUCGUAAGCAUCAUACGGUUACAAUUGAACACAACGUUUUGAGUUAGUAAUUAAUUCUUUAGCUAUAAGUUGUUGACGUUUUACCUGUCAAACUAUCGUUUCGUGAAAUGUGACUCUAAAAACUCGAGUGAUUUAUGAGCCGAGCUCCCGAUUGAGGAAAGCAAGUAGUAAUGUAUUACUAAACCUUAACUUUACUUUUGUUCUUCGUCUUGGCCCACUUUUGCAUCUCAAUCUCCGUUGAUCCCAUCCGGAACUGGCAAAUUGGUGUCAGAAGUUAGCAUAUCUUUGGCAGCGAAUUGGGUUGGGUCACUUGGGUGAUUAGGCAUUGCGAUCUCUAGUAAAAUCCUCCGGAAUCACUCCGAUUCACUGUGGUGGUAGAUCUCGUCUCGGUGGCGUUUUUCGUUCAGGCCACGGAAGGGAUAUGAUCGUGGGGUGGGUUCAUGACUCAUUUCUUGGUACAGUUCCGGAACAAGGUGUUCAGUCCACAUGAUGGGCGGCUCCAAGAACCAGGAUGUGGUCGAUGCGUCUGAGUCUGUGGCCCUCGAUGUGGAAGCUACGGGAUCUCGCAUGGAGCAGCAGCAGCUGCUGCUACUACUGCUGUCAACAAUCCCUGCCCAACCCCCAUCACCUCUCUUUCCCUCCCGCACCUUGGUUUCACCAGCUCCAGCGUCUGGAAGAUGAUGGUCUGCUCUCAGCUCAAAUGAGGCUUUGUCGUCAGCUGCUGAAUCUCUGAAGUCUGAACCGCUGUAAGGUUUGUCUGUACCUUUGACGGUAGCCCGACGAAGGGGAGACCGGCCGCGUAUUUCGGAGGGAAGACGUGCCUGUACAGUGUACAGAGGGCCGACGCCUCGACGGCGAGCCCGUCCAGGUGGUCCAGGAACGGGAAAUGGUAGCGGUA
This 7503-nucleotide long non-coding RNA is filed under the name Brachypodium distachyon (stiff brome). RNAcentral's name for it is "long non-coding RNA (BDIS_LNC003604)". The record is from RNAcentral. Lineage: Eukaryota; Viridiplantae; Streptophyta; Magnoliopsida; Poales; Poaceae.